AUUUUCCUUCACUUCACUCAGACACACUUCAGCAAGUGUGUCUGAGCCAACAUAGAAAGAUGGAGCAGCAAUUCAGAAGCAUCUCUCCUGAAGACAGAAGGCCAGUGCCCAGCUUCCUGUCACUCACUCGAGAGCAUUGGGCACCUGCUGGGGGCUGCAUGAGCUGCCAGUGAGCAGACAGGCAACGUCCCAGUGCUCCAGGGAUGCGUGUUCUAUCUGGGCAGAGACAACAGCAACCAGCAGACAAGAAACGCCGCAGAGUGCUGUGUGCUGGGUGCCGGGUGACGCUCAGGGUGGUCGUCUGGGCAUCCGUGUCAGAGUGCUGUGUGCCGGGCGACGCUCAGGGCGGCCCUGCGGGCAUCCGUGUCAGAGUGCUGUGUGCCGGGCGAUGCUCAGGGCGGCCGUGCGGGCAUCCAUGUCAGAGUGCUGUGUGCCGGGCGGAGCUCAGGGCGGCCCUGCGGGCAUCCAUGUCAGAGUGCUGUGUGCCGGGCGAUGCUCAGGGCGGCCGUGCGGGCAUCCAUGUCAGAGUGCUGUGUGCCGGGCGACAGUCAGGGCAGCCGUGCGGGCAUCCAUGUCAGAGUGCUGUGUGCCGGGCGACAGUCAGGGCAGCCGUGCGGGCAUCCGUGUCAGAGUGCUGUGUGCCGGGCGAUGCUCAGGGCGGCUGUGCGGGCAUCUGUGUCAGAGUGCUGUGUGCCGGGCGACGCUCAGGGCGGCCGUCUGGGCAUCCGUGUCAGAGUGCUGUGUGCCGGGCGACUCUCAGGGCGGCCGUGUGGGCAUCCGUGUCAGCGUUCUGUGUGCCGGGCGACUCUCAGGGCAGCCGUGCGGGCAUCCGUGUCAGAGUGCUGUGUGCCGGGCGACAGUCAGGGCAGCCGUGCGGGCAUCCGUGUCAGAGUGCUGUGUGCCGGGCGACUCUCAGGGCGGCCGUGUGGGCAUCCGUGUCAGAGUGCUGUGUGCCGGGCAACGCUCAGGGCGGCCGUGUGGGCAUCCGUGUCAGAGUGCUGUGUGCCGGGCGACGCUCAGGGCGGCUGUGUGAGCAUCCGUGUCAGUGAAACUAUUCCUGCACAAGAGAACUGUGACUGGAUUCUGCCAGGGAGGAGCUGUGACCAGCAGGGCAGAGACAUGGGAGGGAAGAGCCGGCGUCACCUCCAGGCCUCCUGCGCCCGAGAGGAGGGAAGAGCCGGUGUCACCUCCAGGCCUCCUGCACCCGAGGGGAGGAAGAGCCGGCGUCACUGGCCACAGGAAAUGCACCUGGUGACUCUGCUGAGAUCUUGCUAAGAACUCCUAUCGCCAUGAUGAACACCUUGUCGUGGGGACGACUCUGUGAAAGGUUCCAGCUCUGUCUCCUGCCACAGCCUCUGAACUGGGAUGUGAACCUUUCGGUGUCUGGCCAUUAUCACCCUGAUGGUGAACUGGGCAGCCUUAAAUUUCAAUAUUGAAGGGUCAAUCACUGGAAACUAUAUAGACAAGUAGACGUCAGCAUAGGUAACAAUUGUGAACCUUUCGGUGUCUGGCCAUUAUCACCCUGAUGGUGAACUGGGCAGCCUUAAAUUUCAAUAUUGAAGGGUCAAUCGCUGGAAACUAUAUAGACAAGUAGACGUCAG
Molecule: long non-coding RNA, 1601 nt
Filed under: Homo sapiens (human)
Lineage: Eukaryota; Metazoa; Chordata; Mammalia; Primates; Hominidae
Description: long non-coding RNA NONHSAT056774.2
Source: RNAcentral